GAUGAACGCUGGCGGCGUGCCUAAUACAUGCAAGUCGAGCGAACGGACGAGAAGCUUGCUUCUCUGAUGUUAGCGGCGGACGGGUGAGUAACACGUGGAUAACCUACCUAUAAGACUGGGAUAACUUCGGAAAACCGGAGCUAAUACCGGAUAAUAUUUUGAACCGCAUGGUUCAAAAGUGAAAGACGGUCUUGCUGUCGCUUAUAGAUGGAUCCGCGCUGCAUUAGCUAGUUGGUAAGGUAACGGCUUACCAAGGCAACGAUGCAUAGCCGACCUGAGAGGGUGAUCGGCCACACUGGAACUGAGACACGGUCCAGACUCCUACGGGAGGCAGCAGUAGGGAAUCUUCCGCAAAGGGCGAAAGCCUGACGGAGCAACGCCGCGUGAGUGAUGAAGGUCUUCGGAUCGUAAAACUCUGUUAUUAGGGAAGAACAUAUGUGUAAGUAACUGUGCACAUCUUGACGGUACCUAAUCAGAAAGCCACGGCUAACUACGUG
Molecule: ribosomal RNA, 497 nt
Filed under: uncultured bacterium
Lineage: Bacteria
Description: partial 16S ribosomal RNA
Rfam family: Bacterial small subunit ribosomal RNA
Source: RNAcentral